AGCAGCCGCGGUAAUUCCAGCUCCAAUAGCGUAUAUUAAAGUUGUUGCAGUUAAAAAGCUCGUAGUUGAAUUUCAGGCCUGGCUGGACGGUCCGCCCUUCGGGUGAGUACUGUCUGUGGUCGGGUCCUACCUUCUGGCGAAGCGUCAUGGCCUUAACCGGCCGUGGCGGGGAACCAGGACUUUUACUGUGAAAAAUUAGAGUGUUCAAAGCAGGCAAAUCGCUUGGAUACAUUAGCAUGGAAUAAUGGAAUAGGACAAUGGUUCUAUUUGUUGGUUUCUAGGACCGUUGUAAUGAUUAAUAGGGAUAGUUGGGGGCAUUAGUAUUCAAUUGUCAGAGGUGAAAUUCUUGGAUUUAUUGAAGACUAACUACUGCGAAAGCAUUUGCCAAGGAUGUUUUCAUUAAUCAAGAACGAAAGUUAGGGGAUCGAAGACGAUCAGAUACCGUCGUAGUCUUAACCAUAAACUAUGCCGACUAGGAAUCGGGC
This 485-nucleotide ribosomal RNA is filed under the name uncultured Paraglomus. RNAcentral describes it as "SSU rRNA". It matches the Rfam family "Eukaryotic small subunit ribosomal RNA", at positions 569 to 1058 of the family's 1831-position model. The record is from RNAcentral. Lineage: Eukaryota; Fungi; Glomeromycota; Glomeromycetes; Paraglomerales; Paraglomeraceae.